This is a long non-coding RNA of Aplysia californica (California sea hare), 3165 nucleotides long. RefSeq lists it as uncharacterized. NCBI's taxonomy places the organism in Eukaryota, Metazoa, Mollusca, Gastropoda, Aplysiida, Aplysiidae. The record is from RefSeq and is a predicted model, not a curated record. The transcript is spliced from 4 exons.
CUACUAUACUCAAGGACGUGCACAGUCGGAUUCCUGACUUGGCUAGCGAAGGCCAUCGAGUCAAACACUCCGGAUAUUCCCAUACUGACUCAGUGCCUUAUCUUUAGCUUUGACUCGUUCGUAGGAAUCGGGGACUAUUUAUCUCCUUUGAAGUAGAAUGAAUCCUAUCUGUAAAAUUCGUUGAUCUUAAUAAAAAUGAUGCAGAAAUGAAUCAGAUAUUGAAAGGUGUCAAUAUUUUUAUUUUUGAUUAAGAUUCCAAGCAAAGAAAUGUAAGCAUAAUUAUGGACACCAUUUAUCCGCGUAAGCGCAUCCUUCCGGAAAGAAGUGCAGUGAUCAAUGUAUACGAUUCAAUGUCAAAUGUUGUUCCUCUCCUCAUGUUUCUCGGAGAGUUUUUGUCAAUUCUGUGGAUUAUUGUGAAUUAAUCGGCCCGUCUAUGCGCAAGGAUAGUUUGAUUUCACCAUGCCGAAUAAAUGUGGGGUUGUAAACUGCAAGGUAACUAGAAUAAAGACAAUACAUGUCGAGUGCUCAAGGUACCAAAAGAAGGACUUGAGGGACAAAGAUGGCUUUCUGUUUUACCCCCUCGUGAAAACUUAUCUGUGAAAGGCAUUGGCCAUCAGAUUAUCCUGUGAUUAAAUUACCUGGAGGAUACACUCGACCAAUAGAUCCGCCGAGUUUUUUUGAUGUUCCCUCGUCUUGCCUACCAACGCCAAAACCACCCCCUCGUCCAUCCAAACAAGAAGAUCAGCAACUCCGUCAUUUCAUGAAAAAAGGCAAAAUCUGUAGCCUUUCAGAAUUUUCUCCAGAAAAGGAACUCCACAAGAAAUAUGACAAUUUAAUUCUUUCAAGAACAGAGGACAGAUUUGUUUGCCUGUUUAUGACCGAGCAUUGUGAAGAGUGUGUUUUAUCAGUAGUUGUUGAGAAUAAACCAACAUUGUGCUCCCCUCUUACACUCACCGCAUUCAAGAAAGGAUCCAGAGUUCCCUGGGAAAAAUAUUAAAUCCAAAUAACGGAUUGAAUUCCUACACCCAAUUUUUUGAGUGUGUGCACGUCGACCUAAACUAUAAAGUUCCUUUGGAUGUUGUGCUUGAGAGAGUUGUGGAAGUAUUGGAACAAUCACGUUGCACAAAACUUGAAGACCCAAAGGAAAAGAAAAGGGAAAGAAAGCUAGACUUUAUAACUCAUCAGCUGAAACUGUUGACUCACAAACAAUUUUCUGUAAGUGAUUGCUGUUUCGCUAUCGAAUCGUUUCCCCGCUGCAGUUAUGAACAACUAAGAGACACUUUGGUCUAGCCAAGUACAAGAAAAAUAAAGUCUGUUGUUUCCUCCUUAGAGAUUGAAAGUGUUUUUUUAAAAACAUUUCAAAAACUUAAAACACCUCAACAAAAGAAUGUGUUUUUAUUGAUCGACGAGGUAAAGAUCCGACCCACUGUAGCUUUCUCUGGUGGUGUCCUCAGCGGCAUGGCCAAAAAUGAACCGGAUUCUAGAGCGACAUCCAUGUUAUGUAUCAUGGUCAAAUGCUUGCAUGGUGGACCUAGCAUUAUGAUGUCAGUGAUACCAGUACAUAAACUUACAGCAUCAUUUCAAUUCGAGGCUGUGAAGGAGGCUACGGCUCUAGUAGAAAAGACAGGAGGCAUUGUGAACCCCCUAUAUGUCUACGUAUGAACUGACUAGGAUUGGACUUUCCUUUGUAAAGAAAGCAAAAAAUAGAGUAUGUUGUCGUCAGAGACUUGUUGGAAUUCUAUCAACCAUGGGGGAAUUUAACGACUUCGACAUCGUUCAGUCCAAGAAACUGCUCCGUCAUCUCGCAAAUGUCUUACUCCGCGGUCUGCACAAUCUAGAGAAGGAUCACCAAAAGAAUGCAGCCCUGCUACAGACAUCCAUCAAGAAGGCACGUAAGGCGGAUUCACUUGGCGAUCUCAGCUCUGUACUUUGCGAAAUCUGGGAGCCAUCGAGGAAAAGAGAGGUGUAACGUUUGGAGAGAAAGCCUUUGGCUUUGGCGCACUGACUCAGAUCCAGUCUGCAGCGACCGAUGACAGAUGAUAAAAGCGUCAGCGCUCUGGGGCUAAAAUGGAACAAAUUCUACUUCGCCAUUACAACUUGGACACCCCCACUCAAUGUAUCAAGUAUCCUCAUUCCGAUUUGUUGGUGGAUUCUGAUACAUACAGCAAAUUAAAAUCCUUUAAUGGGAAAGACAACGGAAGAAAACCUAUACAAGUGGGUGGUGAUGGGAGCUGUUUAUUCAAUGCAGUCUCCGUGGCUUUAUAUGGAAAUGAAGCUCACUCGAUGGAACAACGCACCCGAACAACAAUCGAACUCAUUCUGCAUGGCGAAGAAUAUGAACAGAUAUACUCUCGUCCAAAGGUGUUUGUUCCACGACUGAAAGCAUCACCUAGGGAUACAAAAGAGGCUACUCGUCAGCAUUUACCAUUGCUGCCUUAUCAACCCUUAUACAACAUCCUAUUGGUUCUGUGUACCUACUAGUGGGCUGACCUAGGCCAGUAGUCCCAUUACCCACUGCAAAUUUUAGUAGGAAGGAACCACUUGGUAUGUAAGUACCUUACACCAUAUCAUUGGAAAAAUGAAACGGACACAAGGUCCACAUGCAUAUUCAGGCCCUCAUUUGCAUAAAUUAAAAUGGCCGCCAAUGAAAUACAAUGAAAAUGAUAACUAGAUAUAACUUUUGACCGACAAAUGGUAGAACAUUAAUUUUGGUGUUGUUUCAUAUAAAUAUAUGGCUGACAAACUCAAUGACACCAUCAAAGUUAUAAUAAAAGUUCAAAUUCACUCCUAAUUUGCAUAAAAUAAAAAUGACCGCCACUGAAAUAUAAUUAAAAUGAUAACUGGAUAUAACUUUUGACCGACAAAUGGUAGAACAUUAAUUUUGGUGUUGUUUCAUAUAAAUAUAUGGCUGGCAAAGUCAAUGACACCAUCAAAGUUAUAAUAAAAGGUCAAAUUCACUCUUAACCUGCAUAAAUGAAAAAUGGCCGCCACUGAAGUAUAAUGAAAAUACGAACCGAAUAUAACUUUUGACAGAAGAAUGAUAGAAAUAUAAUAUAAAUGUGUUGUUUCAUAGUAAGUUGUGGCUGACAAACUCAAUGACACCCAAAGAAUUAUCAUAAAAGGUCAAAUUGAUUCUUAAUUUGCAUACAUUAAAAAUGACUGCCU